UUUGUUUCAACACAAGAAAUGAAAAGAAUUGUAACUAUCGAAUAUGCAUACGAUUCGUACAUAGUGAUAAAACAAGCCAGUUUAUUGUACUUUCGUAAUCAUUAGAUACGGUUUUAGCUAAUUAUCUCAAACUCUAAAGUUAAUGGGUCACUACGUAGGUCAUCAAAAUAUGUAUAGUAUACUAGAUAGUAUAUCAGUCGGGCUUCGCGCGAAUAUUUUACGGGUAAUUACUAAAUCAAUGUGCUGUCCAAAUUUAAAUUUUCGAUGGCGUUUUGAAUCGCAACUGAACUUUACAUUUGACUUUCAAUCAAAGUUACUUCAUGAUAAAAAAUUUCCAAAAUUUAAUUGAAAAAAAUUUAAAUAUGGUAUAUGAUGACCCUCAAUUACUGUCACGUAUUUUGUGGUCAAACGAAGCUACAUUUAGUAGUGAUGGUACGGUUAACUGGCAUAAUAUGCACUAUUGGCCACAGAAUAAUCCACGCUAGAUGGAAGAAGUUCAGUAUCAGGGGCGAUGGUCGGUGAAUGUAUGGUGUGGUAUUGUAGAUGGUCAGAAAAUUGGACCUCUUAUUUUUGACAACGCAAUUAACGGGGAACGCUACCUAAAUUUUAUAAGGGAUAAAUUACCAUUUCUUCUAGAAGAUAUAACUCGUGGGUCUAUGUUGUUUCAGCACGAUGGGUGUCUAACGCAUUUCUCCAGACAAGAUAGACAAUUUUUAGAUAAUGCUUUCCCUGAUAGAAGGAUAGGACGUGGAGGCCUAUUAUUUUGGCCAGCCAGGUCACCAGACUUAACCGUCUUAGAUUUCUAUCUCUGGGGCCGGAUUAAACACCUUGUUUGUGCAAUUAGACCCAUUACAAGAGAUAACAUGAUCAAGACGCAGUUUCCCGGUGACAGCAUAAGUAAUAUUGACAUAAUGAUUGGAACUAUUAUUAAUAGAACAAAGAAAGGGAAUUUCGAGGAGUCAAAAAAUUUUAAAAUCCGUUCAGUCAAACCGGAGUAAUUUAUGUUUAAAAGAAAAUGCUUAAAAUUUACCCAUUUCUUAAGAUAUUUCGUAAUACGAAAAAGAUAUCGACAUGCGGUUUUCGCUAUUCUGUUGCUAAUUUAGUCUACUUUUAUAUUCCUUAAUUAAAACUGCAUGUUUCCAUUUAACAUUUUUCAAGGCUAGCUAGAUUUAAAAAAAUAAAUAGCGUCCUCUAGCGUAUACGUUACUCAUUAGGUUGCUUCGAAAUUAUAACUCUUACAUUGGUAGAAAGGAGCUCUCUUCAAAAAGACUAAGUUUGCAUAGAUAGGUUAAGUAGAACUUCCCCCCACCUCUUAUUUGAAGAGAUAGACUAAAACUUGUAAAAUCAAAUAUACGUUGAAUUUUUUGAAGAAUACGAUAAUCAUAGUUUAAAUGCAUCUUCAUUAGGCAAUAUUUGUAAAUUAUUCAUUUUAUAAUUUUUGGUAUUCAAUUAUGCCCUAUAGUGGUGGACCUAAAACUCUGUAAAAAAUUUCCAGGUUUUUCUCGAGGUCACUUUUUUUAUAAUUUUUUUCCCAAAGCUGUACUAUAAACGGUUGCCGAUAUAUGGCCGAGAGCCAUUCUUAUUGGGACACUCGGUACAUGACAUAUUAUUAAGAAUUGGAAUAUACAGAUGAUGUAUGCGGUCAUACAAAAUGAUAUAAGUAUUAAAAUAAGAACGGAAAUGAAGAAAAUGAUGAGAAACAUAGAAGGAAAUGAAUAUUACCAAAUUUAUGGAAAUAAUUAAAUUAUUAUUUUCAGAGUGAAGAAAGACUAAAAAUGUGGGUCCAUUGUUACAGAAAUCAAGCAUAAUCAAUAUGGGAAUAGAAAUGAAUUUUUAAAGUAUGAUAUAUUAAGUAAAAAAUGUGGUUUUAGGUAUAUAGCUUAUUAUAUCAGAAAAAAUUGUAGAUGUGGAAGAAGAUUAUUGAUGUCGAAAGACCAAUUAUUAGUAAUUGCCACAAAAGCUUACUAUGGAAAUUAAGAACAAAGCAGAAGAUAUUGAGAACAACAUAGAAAUAAUUGAGUUGGAGGUAUUUAAGAGUGUCGAAGAGGGUGUUGUAAUGUACCGACGAAAAAGAUUUAACAAGAAAUAAGUCUUCCAAACUUUAAUUCGCUACCCAGAUGAUGAUGAAUAUUUCAAGAAGAACAUCACAAUAGCCCAUUGCUUCUCACAGAUGAAAAAGAAAUUUGAUAAUUGUAGAUUUGAAUGAAAAACUUGGAAAUGUCCAAAGUGAGAACUUUAAUUCAGCAUAUAAAAAAUUUUGACUGGGAUUCUUCUAAUGAUACCCAACCCCGUAAAAUAAAAGGAAUAGAUAAACAUAUUACCUGAAUAGGAAAUUUAAGGAUUCUAAUAUAUUUUUCAAUUACUACACAAUUAAAUACAGUGGAGUCCCGAUAAUUCGAACUUGGAUAAUCCAAAUCCAAUCCAAAAAUAAUUAGUGUAUUAAUAAAAGUUACAUUAUCUUUGGAAUAUAGUAAAGUGUAAUGAACAAAACAGAACAAUAUUCUAAACUAUACUGGUAUAAAAAAAACGAAGACUUCUUUCAUGCGGCAAAGUUUCGUCCACCAACCUCAUAAUCUGAGUUUAAAUACUCAAAUUCCAAUUCAAUAUUUUUCUUUAAUUGGUUUUCAAAUUCCACAUCUUCUUGAAUAUUAUCAGUAUUACUACUACAAUGCAAUAUGCCAGUAGAAUCCAAUCUAAUAAUAUUCUCUGAAUCCCCUGAUUUACUUCUUGGUGGAUUAAAAGUAUCUUAAAAGUAUUUUUAAAUUGAAGUGAUUAUUGUUGAAUCCUCCUCUACUUCUAAUAGCAUCAAAAAACAUUUCCAAGUGAUCUUGCGAAAAUUUAUAAGUAAGCACAUAUUUAAUAUUUUUAGAAUCAACAAAACCAAAGACACAUUCUAUGCAUACCAAAAAUCUCAAAAAACCAGUUUUUCUUCCAAAAUCUAGAAUGUGAUCUCCAUUUUAUUUUAAUGAAAAUAUGUAAUUUUUUAUUUCAUUCAAUCUAUAAAAAAUAAUAUAUUUUGUUGCUGUUUUUUAAAUAUGUAUGUUGCCAAUCUAUUAAGAGAGUUAAAAAUAUCAAAUAAAUCAUUAAAUUGAAACAAA
Diorhabda carinulata is the source of this 3098-nucleotide RNA transcript. RefSeq lists it as uncharacterized. Lineage: Eukaryota; Metazoa; Arthropoda; Insecta; Coleoptera; Chrysomelidae. The record is from RefSeq and is a predicted model, not a curated record. The transcript is spliced from 5 exons.